GAGUUUGAUCGUGGCUCAGAUUGAACGCUGGCGGCAGGCCUAACACAUGCAAGUCGAGCGGAUGAGUGGAGCUUGCUCCAUGAUUCAGCGGCGGACGGGUGAGUAAUGCCUAGGAAUCUGCCUGGUAGUGGGGGACAACGUUUCGAAAGGAACGCUAAUACCGCAUACGUCNUACGGGAGAAAGUGGGGGAUCUUCGGACCUCACGCUAUCAGAUGAGCCUAGGUCGGAUUAGCUAGUUGGUGAGGUAAAGGCUCACCAAGGCGACGAUCCGUAACUGGUCUGAGAGGAUGAUCAGUCACACUGGAACUGAGACACGGUCCAGACUCCUACGGGAGGCAGCAGUGGGGAAUAUUGGACAAUGGGCGAAAGCCUGAUCCAGCCAUGCCGCGUGUGUGAAGAAGGUCUUCGGAUUGUAAAGCUCUUUAAGUUGGGGGAAAGGGCAGUAAGUUUUUUCCUUGCUGUUUUGACGUUACCGACAGAAUAAGCACCGGCUAACUUCGUGCCAGCAGCCGCGGUAAUACGAAGGGUGCAAGCGUUAAUCGGAAUUACUGGGCGUAAAGCGCGCGUAGGUGGUUCGUUAAGUUGGAUGUGAAAGCCCCGGGCUCAACCUGGGAACUGCAUCCAAAACUGGCGAGCUAGAGUAUGGCAGAGGGUGGUGGAAUUUCCUGUGUAGCGGUGAAAUGCGUAGAUAUAGGNAAGGAACACCAGUGGCGAAGGCGACCACCUGGGCNUAAUACUGACCCUGAGGUGCGAAAAGCGUGGGGGAGCAAA
RNAcentral lists this ribosomal RNA (772 nucleotides) under Stutzerimonas stutzeri. RNAcentral describes it as "bacterial SSU rRNA". It matches the Rfam family "Bacterial small subunit ribosomal RNA", at positions 9 to 772 of the family's 1533-position model. The record is from RNAcentral. Lineage: Bacteria; Pseudomonadati; Pseudomonadota; Gammaproteobacteria; Pseudomonadales; Pseudomonadaceae.